Molecule: ribosomal RNA, 153 nt
Organism: Polyodon spathula (Mississippi paddlefish)
Lineage: Eukaryota; Metazoa; Chordata; Actinopteri; Acipenseriformes; Polyodontidae
Product: 5.8S ribosomal RNA
Exons: 1
Source: RefSeq, a predicted model, not a curated record
UACUCUCAGCGAUGGAUCACUUGGCUCGUGCGUCGAUGAGGAACGCAGCUAGCUGCGAUAAUUAAUGUUACCUGCCAGGCACACUGAUCAUCGACAAUUCGAAUGCACUUGGCGGCCCUGGGUGUUCCUGUGGCCAUAUCUGUCUGUGGGUUG